This 497-nucleotide ribosomal RNA is filed under the name uncultured bacterium. Its description in RNAcentral is "partial 16S ribosomal RNA". It matches the Rfam family "Bacterial small subunit ribosomal RNA", at positions 28 to 507 of the family's 1533-position model. The record is from RNAcentral.
GAUGAACGCUGGCGGCGUGCCUAAUACAUGCAAGUCGAGCGAACAGACGAGGAGCUUGCUCCUCUGACGUUAGCGGCGGACGGGUGAGUAACACGUGGAUAACCUACCUAUAAGACUGGGAUAACUUCGGGAAACCGGAGCUAAUACCGGAUAACAUGUUGAACCGCAUGGUUCAACAGUGAAAGACGGUCUUGCUGUCACUUAUAGAUGGAUCCGCGCCGCAUUAGCUAGUUGGUAAGGUAACGGCUUACCAAGGCAACGAUGCGUAGCCGACCUGAGAGGGUGAUGGGCCACACUGGAACUGAGACACGGUCCAGACUCCUACGGGAGGCAGCAGUAGGGAAUCUUCCGCAAUGGGCGAAAGCCUGACGGAGCAACGCCGCGUGAGUGAAGAAGGUCUUCGGAUCGUAAAACUCUGUUAUUAGGGAAGAGCAAAUGUGUAAGUAACUAUGCACGUCUUGACGGUACCUAAUCAGAAAGCCACGGCUAACUACGCG